GAAGAGGUGGCUCAGUGGUUAAGAGCACUGACUUGCAGAGGACCAGGGUUCAAUUCCCAGCACCUACA
This 68-nucleotide transfer RNA is filed under the name Mus musculus (house mouse). It matches the Rfam family "tRNA". From Rfam's summary of the family: Transfer RNA (tRNA) molecules are approximately 80 nucleotides in length. The record is from Rfam by way of RNAcentral. RNAcentral also lists the same sequence under 1 other name. Lineage: Eukaryota; Metazoa; Chordata; Mammalia; Rodentia; Muridae.